CUGGAACCAAACCUUCGAAAUCGCAAACCCUAACAUACAUCUCGAAAGCAUUCUGUCGAAUUGAAUUGUAGAUUAUAUUCUCGAAUUGCUGCAGGAAAUCAUCAACCUUAAUUUUUCAGUAGCAGUAGCAGAUUUUACCAUGGCUGAACUAUUACUAUGCAGAUCAAAGAGAUUAUGAAUUGAUUCCUGAUGCUCAUAUUAAAUGGGAUCAACGUACUCAAAAGCAAAGUGCAAGCAUAACUGCUAGGAGAGUUGAGAAUAUCAUAUAUUAAUCACGUCAGAGUGAUGCAAGCAGUACUAUUUUCUAUUUUGAAAGGCCUGGCCUGUUUCCACUAGAGCCCGAUCCAGCCCUUAUCCGGCCCAUUGCACAGGCCUACUUACAAGAAUAUAUUACUAGUUGAGAAAAAAAUGUGUAUGACGAAUAGGCCUAGGUUACCCCAUUUGUUAUUUACCGUUGUAUUUUGUGUUGGAAAAAGUUGUUAUAUGUCUUCAACACAAUUUGAGUCAAUGCUUAUAAAAAAUGGCAAAUCAUUUCUGUUGUUAAAA
This is a long non-coding RNA of Amaranthus tricolor (Joseph's coat), 546 nucleotides long. RefSeq lists it as uncharacterized. The transcript has 2 exons. The record is from RefSeq and is a predicted model, not a curated record. NCBI's taxonomy places the organism in Eukaryota, Viridiplantae, Streptophyta, Magnoliopsida, Caryophyllales, Amaranthaceae.